CGCGUGUCGCCUCUUGGGUCACAUUGAAAGCCAGCGUUGCCCGGGGAUGGGUCCCUGACACUUGGCGAAGUAGGAGCCCUGUGUGAUCGUGCGUCUGAGUCUGGGCUGAGACCAGUCCUGGCCAGGGCAGUUACCAGGACAGUCUCCGGAGGCGGGGAUUUGCGCAGGGUCCACCAGCAGGAAGAAACCCCAGGAGGAAGAAACCUCAGACAGAUCGCCGGCGAGGCAGCGCGGGAUCCCAGCCUCAGGCGUGCGUGGACGGUGUGCGGUGCACACAACCAAGCUUAGGAGCCGACUGUUAAGAUGCCCAAGUGACACGGACAAGUUUCUCCUCUGCAACCCAAUGAGAUCUGCUGACCACGAGAGCAUCGCGGGACCGCCAAAGGAUUCUGGAAAAUGUGGUCCCGGGUGGCCAGUGUGCGCUGACCUUCACCUGAAGGUACGGCUUGAAGGAAACUUCUGGAGGGUGGGGUGGUGUUGAAGAGAAGGCACAGUUGUAACCAUUUUGUUCAACAUGGGCGUUUUCUUUGUGCAUUGAUUUGCAUUUUUAAAGGUAUUCCAUUAAAAAUAUGUUUAUCUAUUUUAAUUUUUUUUUGGUGCCCCUUUAAAUUCUCUAUCCACAGUCCUGAGCCUUAAUACGAAGUGAGGGCCUGGCCUCUGGGCAUCAAGCAGCCAGAAAGUCCCUUAGGAGCUUUCUCUGAAUUGUUGAAUUGUGACUGAUCUUUUCCUUUCCUGACUUCCUUAAUAUCCACAAUUUCCUCGUAACCAUCCCCCCAAAGCCACACCCACAAGGCACCUCCAAGACCUAUCAUGAAGCGGAUAUUCAAAGAUUAUUUUUAAAUCUUCACACCCCACCCCUUCCAGAAUGUCUUCCAACAUCCCUUCGCCUGGAGAAAUAAAACACAAGGUUUGCAUGUUGAGUAUCAGCCUCUCCCAUUGGGUGGGUGUUUAGGAAAAAGAAUCAGCCAAGAGCCCUAUUCCAGCCCAGGUAAAUGACUUUGCCAAAGAUUUAAUAUCCACAAAUGUACAAUGCUCACUGGGAACCAAAGUCAGGCAUGGGGCUGGGCUUUAAGGAGCACAAACUAAAAGGAGGGACUAGAAAACUUCAGAAAGGUAUUGGUGGGGGAUGUUGCGGGGGGACAGGGGACAGCGAGGAUGUGGGAUCCCGAGAUAAUCCAAAUCCCUAUGUGUAGACAUAUGCGUAUAAAGGCCUUUAAGAGACUCAGGCUGAUGGGGUAUCUGUAAUA
RNAcentral lists this long non-coding RNA (1247 nucleotides) under Pan troglodytes (chimpanzee). Its description in RNAcentral is "long non-coding RNA NONPTRT008504". The record is from RNAcentral. Lineage: Eukaryota; Metazoa; Chordata; Mammalia; Primates; Hominidae.